Long non-coding RNA from Phycodurus eques (leafy seadragon), 658 nucleotides. RefSeq lists it as uncharacterized. The record is from RefSeq and is a predicted model, not a curated record. Lineage: Eukaryota; Metazoa; Chordata; Actinopteri; Syngnathiformes; Syngnathidae. The transcript is spliced from 2 exons.
CAUUGCAUCAUUUUGGCGUGGCCCGUUUGCAAAGAAAACAGCCGCGGACAAAGACGUCACUGUUCAUCGCACACCGCUGACAAUCCCGUCAUCGCCGUCUCAGCGCGCUUGUCCGCAGAAGAAGGCAUCCGUGGAAUGAGCACAAAGUCAAUUACAGCCUGAAGUCUGGAACGUGUAGACAUCACCAAACGCUGGAUUUCAUCCCUGGUGUUGUUCUGCCAACCAUCGACCACAACUGUCUUCAGUUCCUGAAUUUUCCAUUCAGUUUUGUCUUGAGCAAGUGAAAUGGUAUUGGUAUUGGUAUUGCUAAAUUGAAGUCAGUGUAUUUAUAACGUGCUGUGGCAAAGGGAAAAAGAUGAACAGGAAAUACUUUAUUUAAAACAAAGUCAUGCAAAGAGAACCCAAAACCCCAGCCUGAGACCAAACUUGAGGGACCUGUACAGCAACAACUCCAUUAUUUGUGCAGAACAUUUGAAAGGUUUUGAUUCGCACGGUUAAUAAGAAAGCUUUUAAGCUCUUGUGUACAUAAAUCAACUGUAGAGAAACAGCACGAACGCCAAGAAGUCUUCAGGUCAAAUGUUCUUGUUUUUCUUUGCUCGCUUGGUUUUGUUGUUCUGGUUCUGGUUGUUGUUCUUGGACUUUUCCAGCAGAGCGAGCG